AUGCUGGUGAGAGAGCGUACGGCGAUCGAGCGGCACUGUGAAGGGCGGCUGUUCAUCUAUGAUUUGGAUCGCUCACCAACCACAAACAACCAAAGAUCCAAGCGUUGCUCGUUACAUGUAACCAGUUCAUAUCCUCCCUGCGUUCAGAGAGAGAGAGAGCCCAUGGAGAAGGAGAAGACGGUCGUUCUGUACCCUGGCCUUUUCGUGAGCCACUUUGUCCCGAUGAUGCAGCUCGCAAGGGCCCUCCACGACCACGGCUACGCCGUCUCUGUCGCGCUCAUUGACCCCGCCGUCAAGGAGGACAUCGCCUUCAGCGCCGUCGUCCGCCGCGUCGCCGCCUCCAUGCCGUCCGUCCGCUUCCACACGCUCCGGGCCGUGAAGGACACGCCCAAGCUGACCCACGACGCGAGGUUCAUGGUGGAGGCCAAAGGAGAUGGUUGGGUGGCAGCAGGGCCUGGUCAAGGCCGGCGAGGUGGAGGCCAAAGUAAGGCUUGUGAUGGAGUCUGA
RNAcentral lists this ribosomal RNA (507 nucleotides) under Triticum aestivum (bread wheat). RNAcentral describes it as "partial small subunit ribosomal RNA". The record is from RNAcentral. Lineage: Eukaryota; Viridiplantae; Streptophyta; Magnoliopsida; Poales; Poaceae.